This is a long non-coding RNA of Myotis davidii, 192 nucleotides long. RefSeq lists it as uncharacterized. The transcript has 3 exons. The record is from RefSeq and is a predicted model, not a curated record. Lineage: Eukaryota; Metazoa; Chordata; Mammalia; Chiroptera; Vespertilionidae.
GGAGCAGUUAGGGCAGAACUUAGUGGGGCCCAACACCUCACAUUUAUAGAAGUCAUGCUGCUCCGGGGUCCUCUUGAGUCUGGAGAGGUGGUGCCAGGACAGGUCGUCAAGCUGGGGUCGCCAAGCAGCUUGGCCGCAGUGGGGGCUGUGAGGAUUACAGUGUGAAGUCCUGUCCACCUAGGCUCCAAGGCU